RNAcentral lists this non-coding RNA (26 nucleotides) under Homo sapiens (human). The record is from RNAcentral. Lineage: Eukaryota; Metazoa; Chordata; Mammalia; Primates; Hominidae.
UGGAAACAGCCUGAAUUCGCCGUAGC